UACGGAGGGGGCUAGUGUUGUUCGGAAUUACUGGGCGUAAAGGGCGCGCAGGCGGCUUGGCAAGUCGAGUGUGAAAUCCCUUAGCUUAACUAAGGAAUAGCGUUCGAAACUACCUCGCUAGAGGACGGGAGAGGGAAGUGGAACUCUCGGUGUAGGGGUGAAAUCUGUAGAUAUCGAGAGGAACACCGGUGGCGAAGGCGGCAUCCUGGACCAACACUGACGCUGAGUGAGCGAAAGCCAGGGGAGCAAACGGG
RNAcentral lists this ribosomal RNA (254 nucleotides) under uncultured bacterium. Its description in RNAcentral is "partial 16S ribosomal RNA". It matches the Rfam family "Bacterial small subunit ribosomal RNA", at positions 524 to 776 of the family's 1533-position model. The record is from RNAcentral.